RNAcentral lists this transfer RNA (87 nucleotides) under Oscillospiraceae bacterium. Its description in RNAcentral is "tRNA-Leu". It matches the Rfam family "tRNA". From Rfam's summary of the family: Transfer RNA (tRNA) molecules are approximately 80 nucleotides in length. The record is from RNAcentral. Lineage: Bacteria; Bacillati; Bacillota; Clostridia; Eubacteriales; Oscillospiraceae.
GCGGAUGUGGCGGAAUUGGCAGACGCGCUAGAUUCAGGUUCUAGUGGGGGCGACUUCGUGCAGGUUCAAGUCCUGUUAUCCGCACCA